Molecule: ribosomal RNA, 468 nt
Filed under: uncultured bacterium
Lineage: Bacteria
Description: partial 16S ribosomal RNA
Rfam family: Bacterial small subunit ribosomal RNA
Source: RNAcentral
GACGAACGCUGGCGGCGCGCCUAACACAUGCAAGUCGAACGGAGCUGAGAGAAGCUUGCUUUUCUUAGCUUAGCGGCGAACGGGUGAGUAACGCGUGAGUAACCUGCCCUGGAGUGGGGGACAACAGUUGGAAACGACUGCUAAUACCGCAUAAGCCCACGAUCCGGCAUCGGAUUGAGGGAAAAGGAUUUAUUCGCUUCAGGAUGGACUCGCGUCCAAUUAGCUAGUUGGUGAGGUAACGGCCCACCAAGGCGACGAUUGGUAGCCGGACUGAGAGGUUGAACGGCCACAUUGGGACUGAGACACGGCCCAGACUCCUACGGGAGGCAGCAGUGGGGGAUAUUGCACAAUGGGGGAAACCCUGAUGCAGCGACGCCGCGUGGAGGAAGAAGGUUUUCGGAUUGUAAACUCCUGUCGUUAGGGACGAUAAUGACGGUACCUAACAAGAAAGCACCGGCUAACUACGUG